NNNNNNNNNNNNNNNNNNNNNNNNNNNNNNNNNNNNNNNNNNNNNNNNNNNNNNNNNNNNNUGUUUAUGCGUUUUUAUACGCUUCUAUGCAUGUUUAAGUAUAAACUUAUGUGUAUAUAAAAUAAGUUGAUAAAUUUUAUAAUUAUUUUGUGUUUUUCAUUUUAUUUUUUUUAGUCUUUUUUGUGUUAAUACAUAAUACCUACAAUACAGUUGUAAAUAGUGUGUACCUAUGUAAUUAUAUGUAUGUAUGUGUCGCAUUCUUAUGUAAGAUUUUGCAUGUAUUAAUAUGUAAAAAAAAAAAAAAAAAAAAAAAAAAUAGUUUGAAAAUAAAAAGUUAAAAAUAUUGUUAUUGAGUUCAUUGAAACAAAAAAAAAAAAAAAAAAAAAAAAAAAAAUUUAUAAUAGAGUUAAAAAUAGUUACCUAGUUGAAGCAUCAUAUAUUUGUAUUUAUGAGCAUAUAUGUAUAGAUAAAAUAUAUAGAUAUAUUUAUAUAUUUAUAUAUGUAUUAACUCGUAUAACAUCAUGUUUGUUAGAAACGAUAAUACAAAUAAUAGUGAAAAUAAAAUAGUUGAAAGUUUUCAAAAUUUUAGCAAUUUAUUAUUACUACAUAACUACAAAGAUAGUGAGAACAAAAGCGGAAAUAUUGAAAAAAAAAUUGAAACAAGCGAAAAAAAAAUUGAAACAAGCGAAAACAAAAUUGAAAUAAGCGAAAACAAAAUUGAAAUAAGCGAAAACAAAAUUGAAACAAGCGAAAACAAAAUUGAAACAAACGAAAACAAAAUUGAAACAAACGAAAACAAAAUUGAAACAAACGAAAACAAAAUUGAAACAAGUAAAGAACAAAAUUUAUGUUUUGUUAAAAAAGAAAUAUUUGAUCAAGAUAUUAAAAAACAAUACGAAUCGCUUGAUGAUAACAAUAACGAUGAUUUUUUAUGUGAAAGUACCUUUUAUUCUAACAAUGUAAUGAAUAAAAAAAAAGAAAAACAAAAAAAUUUUAAUUAUUUUUUAUGUAAAAAAGACGAUACUUCUUUUAAUGAUAGUGAUAUUUCUACUAGAAAAAAGAGCGCAGAAAGUGAAUAUAUAAAAAUUGGUAGUAAUAGUAACACUUGUGUUAAUCAUAAACUUAAUAGUAACGCUAUUCAUAGUAACGCUACUUAUAGUAAUAGUACUCAUAAUAACGCUACUUAUAGUAAUAGUACUCAUAAUAACGGUACUCGUAAUAACGCUACCCAUAAUAACGGUACUCGUAAUAACGCUACCCAUAAUAACGGUACCCAUAGUAACACGGGCAACAGAACUGAUCAAACAAAUCAGGUUGUAGAAGACUACAUGAACAAAGAAGAAAAUAAUACGGUAAAUAACUUUUUAGAGUUCGAAAACAACAUGUAUGAAAAGAAAAAAAAAAUGAACUACUCUCACAACUUAACUAACAACGAUAUUAUGUAUUAUAAUGACAAUAUAAAAAUAAAUAACAAAUUUAACAGUAAUAAUAAAAAUAAAUUGAAGUUAAAUAUAAAUAGUAUGGAUGGUGGUAGUGUAAGUGUAAGUGGUAGUGGUAGUGGUAGUAGUAUAGGUAAAAUAAGUACGCGUUUAAAUAGUGAUUAUGGUAAUAAUGAUAGAGAUAGUAGGCAUAUAAGUACUGAUACGAGAUAUAUAAAUAGUAGUUGUAGUAAGCAUAUUAGUAUUAAUCCUGACAUUUGUAUGGAUAACAGUGGUAAUAGUAGUAGUAGUAAUAUGGAUAAUAAUGAUGGGAAUAUAAAAAAUUAUUGUAAUAUAAAAAAUUUGAAUAAUGUAAAAACACACAGUAGUACAAAAAAUGGAAUAAACAGUUUGCAGAAUUUAGAAAAUACAAAUUAUAAUAACAUAAAUUAUUCACAUAAACAUGACACUUUUUUUAGCAAAAGUAAUUUAAACAGCUAUAGUGAAAGAAAUUCAAGUAAUAAGAGAUUAGGACUCGGUUGCAGUUUAAAAAAAAAUAGUAAUUUAAAAUAUGACCGUAGUACUACUAGUAGUAUUAAUAAUAAUAAUAUGAAUAAUAAUAUGAAUAAUGAUAUGAAUAAUAAUAUGAAUAAUGAUAUGAAUAAUAAUAUGAAUAAUGAUACUAUUGAUGAUGACCAUGUUAUGUUUAGUGAGCUAGCUAAAAAGUCAAUGGAUAUAAAUGAUAAAUGUAUUAAUAAUAAUACAAAAAUAAAAAUAAAAAGAUUAUGUGAAAAAAUCGAAGGGUUUGAAAAAGAAAUUAAAAAUGAAAUUAUACAAAAAAAAAAUAUCGAAAAAGAAAAAAUAUACAUAAUCAGAGAAGCUAUAACGAAAUUAGAAAAAAAUUUAAAUAAUGAAAUAAAAAAAAGAAUAGAACAUAACCGAAACAUACAAAAUAUUUUUUCAUCAGAACUGUUAAAAGUACAAGAAAAAAUAGAAAAUGUUGUGAAUGAUAAAGUGCUACAAAUUGAAGGAGCUAUAAAAAUAUUAAAUGACAAAGUUAAUAAUAUUAGUGUUAAUUUUGAAAACGAAAAGAUUAAAUGUAUACAGAAUUUGGAAAAAAAAAAAAAUAGCAUUGCAAAAGAUUUUUCAACUU
Long non-coding RNA from Piliocolobus tephrosceles (Ugandan red Colobus), 2571 nucleotides. Lineage: Eukaryota; Metazoa; Chordata; Mammalia; Primates; Cercopithecidae. The record is from Ensembl.